UUCUAUUAUCAUUGUUCCGUUGAUAUAUCCAGCUAAAAUUAGGUUCCAUCUACGCAGUCAAUCAGAUUCAAUUAAUUAGAUCAAGUCACAAAAAUUUAACCAUUUUCAACCAACUAAGUCACCUAACAAACCACAAUCAAAAUUAAAAAAAAAAAUCCCUUAAAGUCCCUAGACUUAACCAUUUUCAACCAACUGAGUCACCUACCAAACCACAUUCAAAACAAAAAAAUCCCCCCUGUAAAGUCCCUACACUUAACCAUUUUCAACCAACUAAGUCACCUACCAAACCACAUUCAAAAUUAAAAAAAUCCCCUUUAAAGUCCCUAGACUUAACCAUUUUCAAGCAACUAAGUCACCUACC
This 361-nucleotide long non-coding RNA is filed under the name Capsicum annuum. RNAcentral's name for it is "long non-coding RNA (CANN_LNC007279)". Lineage: Eukaryota; Viridiplantae; Streptophyta; Magnoliopsida; Solanales; Solanaceae. The record is from RNAcentral.